ACGGGAGGCAGCAGUGGGGAAUAUUGGGCAAUGGGCGAAAGCCUGACCCAGCGACGCCGCGUGAAGGAAGAAGAUCUUCGGAUUGUAAACUUUAGUCAACAGGGACGAAGCGAGUGACGGUACCUGUGGAGGAAGCCACGGCUAACUACGUGCCAGCAGCCGCGGUAAUACGUAGGUGGCGAGCGUUAUCCGGAUUUAUUGGGUUUAAAGGGUGCGCAGGCGGGCUGUUAAGUCUCCGGUGAAAUGUCAGGGCUCAACCUUGGAAUUGCCGGAGAUACUGGCGGCCUUGAGAGUGGCGGAGGUAUCCGGAAUGUGUGGUGUAGCGGUGAAAUGCAUAGAUAUCACACAGAACACCGAUUGCGAAGGCAGGAUACCAUACCAUAUCUGACGCUCAGGCACGAAAGCGUGGGGAUCGAACAGGAUUAGAUACCCUGGUA
This is a ribosomal RNA of 437 nucleotides. It matches the Rfam family "Bacterial small subunit ribosomal RNA", at positions 341 to 792 of the family's 1533-position model.